UACGGGAGGCAGCAGUGGGGGAUAUUGCACAAUGGAGGAAACUCUGAUGCAGCGACGCCGCGUGAGUGAAGAAGUAUUUCGGUAUGUAAAGCUCUAUCAGCAGGGAAGAUAAUGACAGUACCUGACCAAGAAGCCCCGGCUAACUACGUGCCAGCAGCCGCGGUAAU
RNAcentral lists this ribosomal RNA (167 nucleotides) under uncultured rumen bacterium. RNAcentral's name for it is "partial 16S ribosomal RNA". It matches the Rfam family "Bacterial small subunit ribosomal RNA", at positions 340 to 524 of the family's 1533-position model. The record is from RNAcentral.